GCAGCCGCCGCCAUGACCAGCAGCAUGUGAAGACGCCGGUAAGCCACCAGCCACGUGGCAAGGUAACUUCUUCGCAGUGGCCAUCACUGGGGGAGCAGUUUGCAGUGCCAUCUUGGACCAACAGCUUUGUCCAACAGAACUCUCAGAAACACACAUGCUCUGGCCCUACCUGAGACCAGCCGCUCCUGAAGAUCUACGGGGCCACGGCAGGCUGACCUGACAAGCCCUCAGGAGGAAAGGUGUUGGGUAGUUCCAAGGCUUCCUUGUGUGCAUGCUAGUGCGCAGAGAGGCACGAAUCCUUUUUCCUGCCUCAGCACCAAGCUGCUGCAGAGGAGACCGAAGCCUUCCUAAAGCACAGGCAAGCCAAACCUCUGAGGCCUGUGAUCCCAACACUCAGAAGGCUGAGACACAAGACUGAUGGCCAGUGAGGUGGCUCAUCAGGUGAGGCACUUGUGGCUAAAGACUGACAAUCUGAGUUCAGUUCCUGGAACCCAAAUGGUGGAAGGAGUGAGAACCACUCCUGAAAGUUGUCCUCUGACUCCCACAUCCUCACCCCCAACA
Molecule: non-coding RNA, 561 nt
Organism: Peromyscus maniculatus bairdii (prairie deer mouse)
Lineage: Eukaryota; Metazoa; Chordata; Mammalia; Rodentia; Cricetidae
Source: RefSeq, a predicted model, not a curated record